RNAcentral lists this ribosomal RNA (487 nucleotides) under Cryptops pictus. Its description in RNAcentral is "partial 16S ribosomal RNA". It matches the Rfam family "Bacterial large subunit ribosomal RNA", at positions 1829 to 2600 of the family's 2925-position model. Lineage: Eukaryota; Metazoa; Arthropoda; Chilopoda; Scolopendromorpha; Cryptopidae. The record is from RNAcentral.
GGCAUUAAGAAGAUAUAUUUAAUGUCUGGCCUGCCCUAUGAUAUAGAAUUAAAUGGCCGCAGUAUUUUGACUGUGUAAAGGUAGCAUAAUCAAUUGUCUAUUAAUUGUAGACUUGAAUGAAAGGUUGGACUUGGUUUUGCUUUUUUGGCUAUUCUAAACAAAAUUAUUUAUUUAAUAAGAAUAUUAAAGAGGUGUAAAGGGACGAGAAGACCCUAUUGAGCUUUAUAUUAGCAUUUAGUUUUGCUGUAUAAGAAGAAAGUAACAAAAUAAUAUAUUUUACUGGGGCGGUAAAUCUAUUAUAAACGUUGUUAUACAGUGAUCCAUUAAAAGAUAUGAUUUGAGGAUUAAGUUACUGUAGGGAUAACAGCUUAAUAUUGCCUGAUAGGCCUUAUUGAUGGUAAUGUUUGUGACCUCGAUGUUGGUUUAAUAUGUCUAUAUGGAAGUAUAAGGUUUAUAAGAUGGUUUGUUCAACCAUUUAAGUUUUAUA